The submitters of this non-coding RNA (53 nucleotides) gave its source as unclassified sequences. The record is from Rfam.
UCUGUAAUGCAGCCUUAAGACGGUUACAAGCCCGUGUAAAUGCAGAGUACAGA